UACCUAAUGGACUUGUCCUCUAGGUGCCGCUCACUCUACUUCCUCUGGCAAUUAAAAAGUCACUGCUCGCUUGAGACGCCUCCCUAGUCCUAACCGAAAGGAAACCUCUCGAGCGGACAGUGGUCCCUACGAUCUACCUCUCUCUAGACCUUGAGUAGACGCCUGUUGGGGUGUUCCUUCGUCUAGGGGGGUGUUAAAUCUUUCUACAAGUGCUCACGCAGUAGACCAGUCCUGUUGUCCCUGCCAGCCAGAAACUUGCUGUAGCCGUUCCUAAUACCCUCCGUCAACUCAUAGCUCUCGACCUUCUUUUUUUAUGAUGUUUUGUUCUUCUUCUAGUUCCUACGUCUACAACAGUUUGUGCGUGUACGGUACGUCCGAGCUUAUUAACCUCAGGUCUCACUCUAUGUUCAAGAACCGUUUGCGGGGUUGGUCCUCGUACCACACGUUGUCUGUGGACGGUUCUCCUCGUAAGAUUCGUCGUCUCUGAGGUGAUUCGUCUAACACGAUCAUUGCUCCUUUUGAAGUUUGCGACUAACGGUAUUGAAGGUGUGCGUCCACAUGCUCCUUCCUUCGUUCCCAGGAAGGUUUCCUAGAGGCUACCGUAAGUUUUAGCAGUCGUUUUAGUGGUUACGUGUCUCCAACAGCGGUUCUAAACGACCUGUUCUCUCCGUACCCUUUUGUUUCCUAAACCGCCUCCCCUAUUGUCUACUCUCUUUCUUUAUAGUAUCAAGAGGUAGGUAAAGCUUCCUUUGUGUUGUAAGUGUCGUCGUACAUCGCAUGUCGCGGUCGUGCCUAACGUACCAUCUUCGUCGUGUCAGGGAACCAACGUGCUCACGGCCUCUUUGUCCCUCGUCGUAACGUGUUACGUUGUAACCUCUCCGUCUGAGUAAAUACCUAAACCGGCACGGUACGUCUUUGCUGCGACGACGUAUACGAUCUUUCCAACCGAAACGACGGUUCGCUAGUUGCUCGUCUUCUAGCUGUAUACUAGUCGUCGAACUGUUCGUCCACAAAGUCACGUUGUUCCUUCCCGUCUUAUUUUGUUGACUCUCUGUACAAUUCCUCUCUUCCUCGUUGACGAACUAGGCCUGUUCGACGGGUCAGGUUUAUUGUCGGUUCUCCCUAUGUAUAUCCUCCUUUACCAUGGACUUCUUGCAAGCAGAUCUCGUGUUGGUGGUCGAACUGGGUAGACUAACCUACGGCUUCAAGUACUCUACGAUAUUCUUCUACUGUGGAGUCCUCUUUAAGAAAUAUGUUCACGACGUCUUCCGCUCCAAUCUUAGUUCCUUCCAAUACGUCUAAAAAUGACGGUACCCCUUUGGCUUCGCUCUUUAAUACAAGCUGUGCUAACUGUAUUCGUUGUAACGUACAGCCCUGUCCCGACGUCUCGCGCCGUGACUAUAGCGUCUGUGGUACUUUUACAAACGACUAUACGUCUCCGCCUCCGGCCCUAAGGUGGUACACCUUCUCUGUCUCUUGUUACAUCACGCGUUGGACAAGACCUAUCUAAGGAACAAAUUCUACUUAAUACUAGAUAUACCUCUAAAGCACAGAAAACUGUGGUAUAAGAGAUGCUUAUAUAUACCGAACGGUAAACGUGGUUAAUAUCCACAGCUGUUGGUGCCCAGCUGGCAGGACAAACCUCAUCCGGAAAACUUCCUACUCUUUUAUCCCAGUAAGUUCACCGAGGAUUCGUACAAACAGCUCCGUUACCCACAAUUUCUCGGCUUUAUGUAUUAUUGUUUGGUCCUGGUCCGCUACUUCUGACGUUAUUUCCUUCGAGAAGGCUCCUGCUUCGUGCCCAAGACGACCACCGUAUAAUCCUUCUUGGACUUCCUUUUAUUGCGUCGUCACAAACGCGUCGUGGGUCCCUAACUCUCGUGCUUAAGCUACACCUUCUUAAUGCAGCUGGUGUUCCUGUGAUAUUUUUCGCCUCUCCGCCGCCGGCCGGGGAUGGGGGCAGCGGUACCGCACCGGUUGCGCAGCGGGCAGGGGAGGCGACACGGCUGGGCCACGCCGCAGCGGGGCCGCGCCGGCCGGGCAGCGGAGGCGACGCGGCCGGACAGCGCCGGAGGAUAGUGGUGGAGGGGCAGCUUCGCAGGCAGGUGCGGGUAACGGGCGGCUGGGGCGUGAGGGUGGCCUGCCGGGCUCGAGAAGAGGGAAAGGAGCUCGACCGGUACCUCCAGCAACUGGGAUGGUGGCUAGCUCAAGGACGGCAGCGCGCGCGCUGGGACACCUAGGCCAGCUGUAGCUCGUCGGUGGCGGUCUAGACUACGCGCACUGGGGCGGCCUGGAGGGACGGAGCGGGGAGGCACGCGCGGUGGCCGGGACGGAGCGGGUCGGUGCAGCGGCCGGGACGGAACGGCUCCUCUUCUGCUUCUAAGUUAAAGAAAAAAUGUUUAAAUACAUUCCUUUAAGGUCGACCUCGAUGCCUAGACCUCAAUGAAGUUCACGAGACUGGACGUUUCCCCUCCGUUAUAAAAAAAUUUUUCUAAUGACUCGGACCUCUUUUUCACACCUUUGGUAUAGGCCCGCUCCUUAAACUGUCCACUACCUGGUUUGUCCGUACUAGCUAGUUGAAGGUUUUAGGAAACAGUAGGGGUCUACCUGGUCCUUAGAUAGUCUCUCAGACUUUCAAGACAGAUGUUCAGUUCUUUUCUCUUCCGUAUGGCACACGACGCACUCACAUGCCAUCUAUACUUUUAUUUUCAGUACCGCCGUGAACGGCUCCUUGGUCUGUGUCCUUAAGAACGGCUUUGAGAGUUCUUGGGAGGGUACUCACCGAGUUUCCCUCUUCUCCCGUUCCAGUUACUUUACCGGCUGUUGUGGCUGUUGUGGCAGCCCCUGUAGUUUGCCGAGUCCUGUUACGUGAGGUUCGGGUCCUCCUUCUGCAGUCUGCGGUCGUUGAGGUUGCUGGGGUGACUGUCGUCCCUCGUAAAUGGUUUCAGAACGUAGAUGCGGUCUUAGUUUGUAGUGUGUUCGGUCCGUGUGUCUUACGCUUGUCCCUUCGGGCCCUGUUCCGUGCCUUAGACGCGUCAGGUAAAAGUCUUUCCUUUCCAACAUGGCCUCUUGUGAUACGUCUUCCCACCCCAACGUGUUCCCAGCUCUUCCUUCUUACCUAGCGACUUGUAAGUUUUUGUUCCGGAGUGCACCUCGCUACUUUAUCGUUCCUUAACCACCCCUCCCGCCCGCCAACAGCUAACAAAUAAAAGAACACGACACCAAUAUUCUUGCCGAAGACGCAGCCAAAGACUUGCACCUACAAACGGACCGUCAUCCAAGUGCCGCAAACGACACUCUCUUAGUGCAGAAAUGAACGAUGAUUUCGUGCACCUUAGUGCCGGCACGGAUUGUCACGCAGUGUUACGGUUUCCGUCCUGGCACACAGACCAUGCACUGUUACGGUUCGGCAUAGCACACAGACGCAGGAGGUGCCAGGGCUGGUGGGACGAGGCAGCACGGCGGCGAUGGAUGACGAGCUGCGGCGGGUCUGGCGCACGUGCGGCGGCGAGCGGGCGUGGUGGGGAGCCGCAGCAGGACUACGACGGAGCUGAGCAGAAGGGGAAGACAACGCAACGAGGGGCCCUGCGGGGGAGCGCGCUUGGGGGGCAGGAGGCGACGACGACAUUAGGUAAAGAGGUCUAGGUGGAGUCACUCGUGACCAGCACCCGCUGCGGUGGGGUCGUUGCCUCCACCUCUACCUUUCGCGACGAGCAUCGUAGUUCUCCAGCUCUCACCGCGGUGGCCGCUGCGGCGAAAGACCACACGUCCGGGAGGUGGCAACUACGGACCGAGGCUAGGACCUUCAACUUGUUAUAGGUCCAAGAACUCAAGAUGAUGGAGAAGGGUCUUAAAGACUGCGUUCUCUCAGUCCUGAACCUCCAUUGGCAACAGAGACGCAGACUUGGCAUAGGUACAGCAGAGUGCACAGAACUCCCAAACUUCCGUCAGUCAGAUUGUUGUUACGCAGUUAGACAGUUCUGGAACGAAUAGAUGUACAUAAUAUUCCACCUGUGGUAGCAACUUAACGACGUUACGAAAGGUUUUGACCUCUUGAACAAACAGCUCCACUACUAGAAGUCUUUAAACGUAAGACAUCAUGAGCAAGGAAAAACU
RNAcentral lists this ribosomal RNA (4116 nucleotides) under Triticum aestivum (bread wheat). Its description in RNAcentral is "partial small subunit ribosomal RNA". Lineage: Eukaryota; Viridiplantae; Streptophyta; Magnoliopsida; Poales; Poaceae. The record is from RNAcentral.